UCCCAGUGAAGAAACAUUCAAACAUUACCUCCUGUCCUAGUCCCAGAGCCUGUAAGGUGAACCCACUAGAGCUGGCUAGAGGAGAAUAGGAAAGUUCACUCCAGAAGGAACUGAGGGAU
Small nucleolar RNA from Hippopotamus amphibius kiboko, 119 nucleotides. RefSeq annotates it as small nucleolar RNA SNORD22. The transcript has a single exon. The record is from RefSeq and is a predicted model, not a curated record. Lineage: Eukaryota; Metazoa; Chordata; Mammalia; Artiodactyla; Hippopotamidae.